Molecule: long non-coding RNA, 1382 nt
Organism: Anarrhichthys ocellatus (wolf-eel)
Lineage: Eukaryota; Metazoa; Chordata; Actinopteri; Perciformes; Anarhichadidae
Exons: 3
Source: RefSeq, a predicted model, not a curated record
CACAAACUGCUCUCUGUUUUACUGUCACUCAUCUGGGGAUCAGUCAGAUCUUGUAACUAGCUCACCAGAAUAAUUCAGUUGCUCUGAUUCCCCCUUCCAGCCGAGCACUCUGCCACAGGGUACGGUGAACCUCAAUCUGUGCUCAGACGUCGCGGAUGCAGAGCCCAAGACGGGCCAAAGAAACGCGCUCUGCAUCGUCACACCGGAGCAGGAAAUAUUCAUCCGUGGGGACAAUAAAGAGAUCAUUAAUGGGUGGACCGAACAGCUCGCCGUCUAUCUGCGGACUAACCGGCAGACUCAGAAGAAAAAACGCAAAGUGGAACCUGUUGCCACCCAGGAUCCCAGUCCAGCAAAAAUGGCUGCAACCGAUCCCAGUUUUCCGUCCUCUCAGAACGUUGCAGAGUCCGGCUGCGGUCAGUGGAAGGAAAACCCUCAGCAGGGCAGUGGACCGGGUGAAACCCUCAUGUAUAAUGUCCCAGAUCCAGAUCCCCGGGGCCCGGACAAGACCCCUGCAGGUGCAGCAGAAGCAAAACACACACACACACAUACCCAGGCUUUUAUGUCCGUUAGCCAAUCCCAGCCACUUCCUGUCCUCUCUCUCACUGUCCUAACGUCCUGCAGAUGUUCUCACACUUCCAGCUUUGUUGUUUAUACAUUUCAUUUAACCCUCGUUUAACCAGGCAUGUUGACCCAGCACUGACUUGUAAUUAUGGGAACAGGCUAGAGGAGCUGAAGCAGGAAGUUACAUAAACAGAGACGAACAGACAGAAACACACUGUGAGAUGUGCAGGAAAAACGUCUGUUUUUAAGCUUCGGGCAUCAUAAAAGCCAAACAUGAUCCAUAAAAGAGCUCUUAAACGUCCUAAUUAGCACAGGGCAGGUAUUCUCUCCUUAGUGGAGCUUUGUGCUGCAGCACCCGUCUGGCGUCAGACUUAUUGCCGGGUCUGGACAGGUCCUGUAAUAAAGGUCUGGAUUAACUCCUGCUGACUAUAGGCUGCUUCAUUAGAGUGAUGGAGGAUGUGCAUGAGUGAGGCCGUCUAGUGGAAGAUGCUCAGUCAGGGUUCCCUCCUGCCAUCGGAUUCCUGGACCAUCAUUGAAUUCUUUAAGAUGAAACCGUUCAGACCGUGUAGUGUAACCAUUCAACCUUUUAGACAGACAACAUUAACAGACUCAUACAGUCAAAUAUUUAUACAUCUUGUUGGGCUGUGCUGAAAAGCUUUGACGCCUCAUUCAUCACGUUGACGUUCAAAUUCUAAAUCUACAUCGAUAUGCUGCGCAGCUUUUUUUAAGUGUUUCUGGUGUUUUCGUCACAGUUGCAGAUAAAGAUCAGGUUACCCUAUUUGUUGAAUUGUAUUCUAGUCGUGGCUGCCAAGGACUGUUUC